This 799-nucleotide ribosomal RNA is filed under the name uncultured bacterium. RNAcentral describes it as "bacterial SSU rRNA". It matches the Rfam family "Bacterial small subunit ribosomal RNA", at positions 8 to 796 of the family's 1533-position model. The record is from RNAcentral.
AGAGUUUGAUCAUGGCUCAGAUUGAACGCUGGCGGCAGGCCUAACACAUGCAAGUCGAGCGGUAGCACAGGAGAGCUUGCUCUCUGGGUGACGAGCGGCGGACGGGUGGGUAAUGUCUGGAAAACUGCCUGAUGGAGGGGGAUAACUACUGGAAACGGUAGCUAAUACCGCAUAACGUCUUCGGACCAAAGUGGGGGACCUUCGGGCCUCACGCCAUCAGAUGUGCCCAGAUGGGAUUAGCUAGUAGGUGGGGUAAUGGCUCACCUAGGCGACGAUCCCUAGCUGGUCUGAGAGGAUGACCAGCCACACUGGAACUGAGACACGGUCCAGACUCCUACGGGAGGCAGCAGUGGGGAAUAUUGCACAAUGGGCGCAAGCCUGAUGCAGCCAUGCCGCGUGUGUGAAGAAGGCCUUCGGGAUGUAAAGCACUUUCAGCGAGGAGGAAGGGCAGUGUGUUAAUAGCACAUUGCAUUGACGUUACUCGCAGAAGAAGCACCGGCUAACUCCGUGCCAGCAGCCGCGGUAAUACGGAGGGUGCAAGCGUUAAUCGGAAUUACUGGGCGUAAAGCGCACGCAGGCGGUUUGUUAAGUCAGAUGUGAAAUCCCCGCGCUUAACGUGGGAACUGCAUUUGAAACUGGCAAGCUAGAGUCUUGUAGAGGGGGGUAGAAUUCCAGGUGUAGCGGUGAAAUGCGUAGAGAUCUGGAGGAAUACCGGUGGCGAAGGCGGCCCCCUGGACAAAGACUGACGCUCAGGUGCGAAAGCGUGGGGAGCAAACAGGAUUAGAUACCCCGGUAGUCC